GAUUAACGCUGGCGGCAUGCCUAAUACAUGCAAGUCGAACGGAAGCAGCAAUGCUUUAGUGGCGAACGGGUGAGUAACACGUAGGGAACCUACCUAUACGACGAGGAUAACUACUGGAAACGGUAGCUAAAACUGGAUAGGAUCAAUUGAGGCAUCUUGAUUGAUUUAAAGAUCCUUCGGGAUUACGUAGAGAUGGCCCUGCGGCGCAUUAGCUAGUUGAUGAGGUAACGGCCCACCAAGGCGACGAUGCGUAGCUGAGCUGAGAGGCUAAACAGCCACACUGGGACUGAGACACGGCCCAGACUCCUACGGGAGGCAGCAGUAGGGAAUUUUCGGCAAUGGGGGAAACCCUGACCGAGCAAUGCCGCGUGAACGAUGAAGGUCUUCGGAUUGUAAAGUUCUGUGAUUGGGGAAGAAUGGUAUCUUAGGGAAUGAGGAGUACAUGACGGUACCCGAUUAGAAAGCCCCGGCUAACUAUGUGCCAGCAGCCGAC
Molecule: ribosomal RNA, 493 nt
Filed under: uncultured bacterium
Lineage: Bacteria
Description: bacterial SSU rRNA
Rfam family: Bacterial small subunit ribosomal RNA
Source: RNAcentral